UACGUAGGGGGCAAGCGUUUGUCCGGAUUUAUUGGGCGUAAAGAGCGUGUAGGCGGCCAAGCAGGUCCGCUGUGAAAACUCGAGGCUCAACCUCGAGACGUCGGUGGAAACCGUUUGGCUAGAGUCCGGAAGAGGAGAGUGGAAUUCCUGGUGUAGCGGUGAAAUGCGUAGAUAUCAGGAGGAACACCGGCGGUGUAGACGGCUCUCUGGACCGUAACUGACGCUGAGAUACGAAAGCGUGGGUAGCAAACAGG
This 254-nucleotide ribosomal RNA is filed under the name uncultured bacterium. RNAcentral's name for it is "partial 16S ribosomal RNA". It matches the Rfam family "Bacterial small subunit ribosomal RNA", at positions 524 to 776 of the family's 1533-position model. The record is from RNAcentral.